This 270-nucleotide ribosomal RNA is filed under the name uncultured archaeon. Its description in RNAcentral is "partial 16S ribosomal RNA". It matches the Rfam family "Archaeal small subunit ribosomal RNA", at positions 477 to 747 of the family's 1478-position model. The record is from RNAcentral.
CUGCAGCCCGAGUGGUGAUCGAUUUUAUUGAGCCUAAAGCGUCCGUAGCCGGACUAGUAAACCCUUGGGUAAAUUGGGCAGCUUAACUGUCCAAAUUCCGAGGGGACUGCUAGUCUUGGGACCGGGAGAGGUCAGAGGUACUCAAGGGGUAGGGGCUAAAUCCUGUAAUCCUUUGGGGACCACCAGUGGCGAAGGCGUCUGACUAGAGCGGAUCCGACGGUAAGGGACGAAACCCUGGGGCGCGAACCGGAUUAGAUACCCGAGUAGUCC